UGCUACUGGGGGAAAAAAUCACUCCUUCCAACAAGUGGGGUGGGGCACACACACUGCCCAUCCCAUCGCCCUCCUCUUCCCAUUUACCCACUCUGUCUCCUGUACCCAGUGGGAAAUCCUGUGGAGUAUCACACAGUGAAUGCCAGGAAGAUGGCGGACAGGUGCCAACCCAGAACAGCCACAAACCUAGACAAAACUGCUUCUCUUCUCUGUGAAAACUUGGCUUUACUGAGGGUCUGGAGUUUUCUCCCUGUGUGCGUUCAGAACGCCGCUAUGGGGCUUUUGCUGAUUGGGGGAAGGUUGUGUUGGUGGUGGUGGGUUUUGGGGGGGGAGGAGUGCGUUG
Molecule: long non-coding RNA, 343 nt
Filed under: Rattus norvegicus (Norway rat)
Lineage: Eukaryota; Metazoa; Chordata; Mammalia; Rodentia; Muridae
Description: long non-coding RNA NONRATT000513
Source: RNAcentral